Long non-coding RNA from Xiphophorus hellerii (green swordtail), 169 nucleotides. RefSeq lists it as uncharacterized. Lineage: Eukaryota; Metazoa; Chordata; Actinopteri; Cyprinodontiformes; Poeciliidae. The record is from RefSeq and is a predicted model, not a curated record. The transcript is spliced from 3 exons.
AGCAACCUUUCAGCUUCUGCACAGAUCCACCAAAUGUUUGCUAACUGCUGCUGGCUAGUCUGAAGGAGCUGAGUGUGGGAGGAGCUGCAUCUCGGAGGCGGGGCUACGUCCACCCAGACGUUUUUGGACAGCUGAAUGGUUGCCGUGGAGAUUAAAUAAUUUCUCAAAC